GGCUCCACUUCCAGGAGACCUCACCAAGGGAAAUUCCUCUUUCUGGGCUGCAGGAUGUUGCAUUCCACAAUCCUAUUCUAAUAAUCUCUCGUUUCAUGGUAUAGUCUCACUGUUUUAAGUUUUUUUUUUUUAAUUGGUUGUUCAAAACAUUACAUAGCUCUUGACAUAUCAUGUUUCAUACUUUAGAUUCAAGAAGUGGGUUUGAAGUUUUUUAAGACUCCAUGGAGAAGUAAGGAAGAUAAGAAACCAUCUGAGCUGCAGAGCCAAACCCCAUGGAGUAUCAUUCAGCCCCUGCCAUGACUUUCACUCCUGGUGACCAGAAUAACCUCAUCUAUCCAUCAGCUUUGUCCAAAGCUGUUGCUGGCGCCUCUGAUUAUGACCACUGUUCUGCCAGCCGCAGGGGUGCAUGCUGUAAUCCCAACUCCUUGGGCAGCUGACGCAGGAGGACUUCAGGUUCAAGGCCAGCCUGGGCAACUUAGGAAGACCUUAUCUCAAACUAAAAAAUAAAAAGAGCUGAGGAUGGGGCUCAAUGGUAAAGCACCCCUGGGUUUAAUCCUCAGUACCAAAACAUAAAAAAUAAAAAUAAAAAAAUUUUUUAAAAAAGUAUGAUUCUAAGUUUUAGCCCUGUCUA
Molecule: long non-coding RNA, 631 nt
Filed under: Marmota monax (woodchuck)
Lineage: Eukaryota; Metazoa; Chordata; Mammalia; Rodentia; Sciuridae
Source: RNAcentral